CCCCUUAGAUGUUCUGGGCCGCACGCGCGCUACACUGAUGCAUUCAACAAGCCUAGCCUUGACCGAGAGGUCCGGGUAAUCUUUGAAACUGCAUCGUGAUGGGGCUAGAUUAUUGCAAUUAUUAAUCUUCAACGAGGAAUGCCUAGUAAGCGUGAUUCAUCAAAUCGCGUUGAUUACGUCCCUGCCCUUUGUACACACCGCCCGUCGCUCCUACCGAUUGAAUGUGUUGGUGAGGAGCUCGGAUUGGCAGCAGUUGGUGGUUCGCCACCGGCUAUUGCUGAGAAGUCCUCCAAACCGCCCCAUUUAGAGGAAGGAGAAGUCGUANCA
This 327-nucleotide ribosomal RNA is filed under the name uncultured eukaryote. RNAcentral's name for it is "partial 18S ribosomal RNA". It matches the Rfam family "Eukaryotic small subunit ribosomal RNA", at positions 1469 to 1796 of the family's 1831-position model. The record is from RNAcentral.